Long non-coding RNA from Salvia miltiorrhiza (redroot sage), 761 nucleotides. RefSeq lists it as uncharacterized. The transcript has 3 exons. The record is from RefSeq and is a predicted model, not a curated record. Lineage: Eukaryota; Viridiplantae; Streptophyta; Magnoliopsida; Lamiales; Lamiaceae.
AAUUUUAUUUUAUUUAGGGCCCAAGAGUGUUGCAACAGCGUGAGAGAGCUGUGAUAACAAUCUGACAAGAUCAGAUUUCAGCUAUGAUAACAAUCUGACAAGAUCAGAUUUCAUUUUUCCUGCCAGUAUCUGUAAAACCAGAUUUCCAUCUCUGCCAGUCUCUGCAAAUCAGAUUUCUUUUCCCUGCAGCGUCUUUACAUCUACCCAGAGACCACUUUCUUUCAAAUCUGCCCAAACUCUUCCUCUUCCCAACACAUCACUUUGCUAGAACAUUCUCACUCUUUUUACAUCAAAUCUGCAGUAACUCACCUUCCUCCUCUCACUUCCUCACUCUCACUAAACAUACUUUUCAACUCAAAAGGAAAUAAGCUUCACUAUUCUACUUCUACUGCAGGAAUUCAAGACCACAACACUAACUAAUCAAGGUUCGAGUAACCAAGGGCUUUAGAGCUACAAGAAGAGCAAGCACUGAAUCUCCACAUCGAGGUUAGGCGGCUGGUGCGCACGGUGCUGAGCUGGGGAGUGUUUCAUAUCCCGACGACUAGCUACUCCUUAGAUAAUCUAGUUGAAUUUCUGAAUAACAUCAAUCUAAUUCUGUUGAGCUCAGACUCAUUAUUUCUAUUCCGCUGCACUGUUUGAAUGUUAAAAUAUCAGGGUUGUGAAACUAAACCUCUUUAGAUCCCUGGGGAUUUCCUCCAUAUGAUGAACUCGUUCUAUGUCAUCAUUAACCAUCUAUGUAAUAAGCCCUUUUAUUUAUCGUA